GCCAGACUCCUACGGGAGGCAGCAGUGAGGAAUAUUGGUCAAUGGGCGAGAGCCUGAACCAGCCAAGUCGCGUGAAGGAUGACGGCCCUACGGGUUGUAAACUUCUUUUGUCAGGGAGCAAUUGGGUCCACGCGUGGGCUUAGCGAGAGUACCUGAAGAAAAAGCAUCGGCUAACUCCGUGCCAGCAGCCGCGGUAAUACGGAGGAUGCGAGCGUUAUCCGGAUUUAUUGGGUUUAAAGGGUGCGUAGGCGGAAUAUCAAGUCAGCGGUAAAAAGUCGGGGCUCAACCCCGUCGUGCCGUUGAAACUGAUGUCCUUGAGUGGGCGAGAAGUAUGCGGAAUGCGUGGUGUAGCGGUGAAAUGCAUAGAUAUCACGCAGAACUCCGAUUGCGAAGGCAGCAUACCGGCGCCCAACUGACGCUGAAGCACGAAAGCGUGGGUAUCGAACAGGAUUAGAUACCCGGGUA
This 465-nucleotide ribosomal RNA is filed under the name uncultured bacterium. RNAcentral describes it as "bacterial SSU rRNA". It matches the Rfam family "Bacterial small subunit ribosomal RNA", at positions 330 to 792 of the family's 1533-position model. The record is from RNAcentral.